GGCAUAGCUCAGUGGUAGAGCACAUGCUUAGUACGCAUGAGGUCCUGGGUUCAAUUCCCCAGUAAUGCCA
Molecule: transfer RNA, 70 nt
Filed under: Camelus bactrianus (Bactrian camel)
Lineage: Eukaryota; Metazoa; Chordata; Mammalia; Artiodactyla; Camelidae
Also listed under: 1 other name
Rfam family: tRNA
About the family: Transfer RNA (tRNA) molecules are approximately 80 nucleotides in length. Their secondary structure includes four short double-helical elements and three loops (D, anti-codon, and T loops).
Source: Rfam by way of RNAcentral